UUGACGGGGAGCACCACAACGGGUGGAGCUUGCGGUUUAAUUGGAUUCAACGCCGGAAAUCUUACCGGGACCGACAGCAAUAUGAAGGCCAGGCUGAAGACUUUGCCGGAUUAGCUGAGAGGUGGUGCAUGGCCGUCGUCAGUUCGUACUGUGAAGCAUCCUGUUAAGUCAGGCAACGAGCGAGACCCACGCCCACAGUUGCCAGCGUACUCUCUGGAGUGACGGGUACACUGUGGGACCGCCGCUGCUAAAGCGGAGGAAGGAAUGGGCAACGGUAGGUCAGUAUGCCCCGAAUAUCCCGGGCUACACGCGAGCUACAAUGGUUGGUACAAUGGGUAUCUACCCCGAAAGGGGACGGGAAUCUCCUAAAACCAAUCUUAGUUCGGAUUGAGGGCUGCAACUCGCCCUCAUGAAGCUGGAAUCCGUAGUAAUCGCGUUUCAACAGAACGCGGUGAAUACGUCCCUGCUCCUU
RNAcentral lists this ribosomal RNA (472 nucleotides) under uncultured Methanosaeta sp. RNAcentral describes it as "bacterial SSU rRNA". It matches the Rfam family "Archaeal small subunit ribosomal RNA", at positions 871 to 1337 of the family's 1478-position model. The record is from RNAcentral. Lineage: Archaea; Methanobacteriati; Methanobacteriota; Methanomicrobia; Methanotrichales; Methanotrichaceae.